Mycena maculata is the source of this 98-nucleotide non-coding RNA. NCBI's taxonomy places the organism in Eukaryota, Fungi, Basidiomycota, Agaricomycetes, Agaricales, Mycenaceae. The record is from the annotation of a GenBank genome assembly.
UCGGGUGUGGUGUAUGGCGCACCACUGCUUCCUUUAACCGACCGGAGUCCAGUUUAAAUUUGAAGCAGAUGGACGGGGUUCGACUCCCCGUACCCGAA